GAAUCCCGUAUAUGGCACGGACUGCCGUUGCUCUGCGAUACACUCUCAACGAGUCGAGUUGUUUGGGAAUGCAGCUCCAAAUGGGUGGUAAAUGCCAUCUAAAGCUAAAUAUUGGCGAGAGACCGAUAGCGAACAAGUACCGUGAGGGAAAGAUGAAAAGCACUUUGGAAAAAGAGUGAAACAGUACGUGAAAUUGUUGAAAGGGAAACACUUGAAGUCAGUCGCGCCGUUCGGGACUCAGCCUUGCUUCUGCUUGGUUUACUUCCCGUUGGGUGGGUCAACAUCAGUUUUGGUCGGAGGAGAAAGGCCUGUGGAAGGUAGCAGCUUUGCUGUGUUAUAGCCACCUGUUGUAUACUUCGACUGGGACUGAGGAUCGCAGCACGCCUUUGGCCGGGGCUUUGCCCACGUACGUGCUUAGGAUGUUGGCAUAAUGGCUUUAAGCGACCCGUCUUGAAACACGGACCAAGGAGUCUAACAUGUGCGCGAGUGUUUGGGUGUUAAACUCGGACGCGAAAUGAAAGUAACAAGUUGGGAACACUUUUGUGUGCACCGACGCCCGGAGCUGACCUUCUGUGACGCAUCUGCGGUAGAGCGUAUAUGUUGGGACCCGAAAGAUGGUGAACUAUGCCUGAAUAGGGUGAAGCCAGAGGAAACUCUGGUGGAGGCUCGUAGCGAUUCUGACGUGCAAAUCGAUCGUCAAAUUUGGGUAUAGGGGCGAAAGACUAAUCGAACCAUCUAGUAGCUGGUUCCUGCC
Molecule: ribosomal RNA, 754 nt
Filed under: uncultured Sebacina
Lineage: Eukaryota; Fungi; Basidiomycota; Agaricomycetes; Sebacinales; Sebacinaceae
Description: partial 28S ribosomal RNA
Rfam family: Eukaryotic large subunit ribosomal RNA
Source: RNAcentral